This 357-nucleotide unclassified non-coding RNA is filed under the name Hevea brasiliensis (rubber tree). The record is from RNAcentral. Lineage: Eukaryota; Viridiplantae; Streptophyta; Magnoliopsida; Malpighiales; Euphorbiaceae.
GUGAGCCUUCUUUGUGGAAUCUGAAACUGUUGUGUAGAAAGAUAUGUCGUUGAAUAUGCCUCAAAGUUGAGCCUUGAGCCGUGAUGCAACUUUGAAGUGCAUUCCAUAUGGCCAAAGCAAUUGUCCCCAUUUUGUUGUCUGCUCUAAUGGAAUCAAAUUUUAGGUUUCAAGCUAAGCUGCUUACUUUAUUUCAAAUGUUCUUUUAACCUAUCAUUUCAGAUUCAGAUACCCUUUGUAAGGAAAAAUGGAAAACAAUGUUAUAGCUUAACUAUCAUUUUAAAUUAAUUUGUUAACAGAAGCCCUUAUAUUGUUUUUGUGGAUUUUGAAGGCUUUUUGUUGUUCAAAAUCAUAUUGAGG